Fukomys damarensis (Damara mole-rat) is the source of this 6525-nucleotide long non-coding RNA. NCBI's taxonomy places the organism in Eukaryota, Metazoa, Chordata, Mammalia, Rodentia, Bathyergidae. The record is from Ensembl.
AUGAGAAACCCAGAAAGACACAGGAGCCCAGGUGAGGUCUUCCCAGAGGAGAUUUUCCUGAGCCUGGGCAUGAGAAACCCAGAAAGACACAGGAGCCCAGGUGAGGUCUUCCCAGAGGAGAUUUUCCCGAGCCUGGGCAUGAGAUACCAACCAAGACCCAGGAGCCCAGGAGAGGUCUUCCCAGAGGACAUUUUCCCGGGCCUGGGCAUGAGAAACCCAGAAAGACACAGGAGCCCAGGUGAGGUCUUCCCAGAGGAGAUUUUCCCGAGCCUGGGCAUGAGAUACCAACCAAGACCCAGGAGCCCAGGAGAGGUCUUCCCAGAGGACAUUUUCCCGGGCCUGGGCAUGAGAAACCCAGAAAGACACAGGAGCCCAGGAGAGGUCUUCCCAGAGGAGAUUUUCCCGAGCCUGGGCAUGAGAUACCAACCAAGACCCAGGAGCCCAGGAGAGGUCUUCCCAGAGGACAUUUUCCCGGGCCUGGGCAUGAGAAACCCAGAAAGACACAGGAGCCCAGGAGAGGUCUUCCCAGAGGAGAUUUUCCCGAGCCUGGGCAUGAGAUACCAACCAAGACCCAGGAGCCCAGGAGAGGUCUUCCCAGAGGACAUUUUCCCGGGCCUGGGCAUGAGAAACCCAGAAAGACACAGGAGCCCAGGAGAGGUCUUCCCAGAGGAGAUUUUCCCGAGCCUGGGCAUGAGAUACCAACCAAGACCCAGGAGCCCAGGAGAGGUCUUCCCAGAGGACAUUUUCCCGGGCCUGGGCAUGAGAAACCCAGAAAGACACAGGAGCCCAGGAGAGGUCUUCCCAGAGGAGAUUUUCCCGAGCCUGGGCAUGAGAUACCAACCAAGACCCAGGAGCCCAGGAGAGGUCUUCCCAGAGGACAUUUUCCCGGGCCUGGGCAUGAGAAACCCAGAAAGACACAGGAGCCCAGGAGAGGUCUUCCCAGAGGAGAUUUUCCCGAGCCUGGGCAUGAGAUACCAACCAAGACCCAGGAGCCCAGGAGAGGUCUUCCCAGAGGACAUUUUCCCGGGCCUGGGCAUGAGAAACCCAGAAAGACACAGGAGCCCAGGAGAGGUCUUCCCAGAGGAGAUUUUCCCGAGCCUGGGCAUGAGAUACCAACCAAGACCCAGGAGCCCAGGAGAGGUCUUCCCAGAGGACAUUUUCCCGGGCCUGGGCAUGAGAAACCCAGAAAGACACAGGAGCCCAGGAGAGGUCUUCCCAGAGGAGAUUUUCCCGAGCCUGGGCAUGAGAAACCCAGAAAGACACAGGAGCCCAGGUGAGGUCUUCCCAGAGGACAUUUUCCCGAGCCUGGGCAUGAGAUACCAACCAAGACCCAGGAGCCCAGGAGAGGUCUUCCCAGAGGACAUUUUCCCGGGCCUGGGCAUGAGAAACCCAGAAAGACACAGGAGCCCAGGAGAGGUCUUCCCAGAGGAGAUUUUCCCGAGCCUGGGCAUGAGAUACCAACCAAGACCCAGGAGCCCAGGAGAGGUCUUCCCAGAGGAGACUUUCCCAAGCCUGGGCAUGAGAAACCCAGAAAGACACAGGAGCCCAGGAGAGGUCUUCCCAGAGGACAUUUUCCUGGGCCUGGGCAUGACAAACCCACAAAGACCUGGAAGCCCAGGGGAAGUUCUUCCAGAGAUCUUCCCAGGCUUGGCCAUGGAGCCCCAACAAACACCUACGGGCCCAAAAGAGGUCAUUCCUGAGGGGUUCUUCCCAGAGUUCGUCUCUAGGCCAUCGAAGGCCAAAAGAAGGCCAGAAGAGAUCUCUGAGCUGGCAAUGCCAUGCGCAGAGACAGUAAGGAACCCAGGCGAGGUCUUUCGAGGCCUGUCCACCAGCCACCAAGAAACACCAGGAAGCCCCACUCAUGUCCACCCUGGCCUCAGCACCACUCUUGAAAAUCACUCAGCUGGGAGCCUCGCCCAAGUCUGGCGAGUGCAGGUGGUCACAUCACACUCCCUCUCCGAGCAGCUGGUGCCAGCUUUUCCAGGCAGCCAACCCUUCCUCGGUUCCUCCUUCCUGCGAUCCACCAGGGCCUGCACCUAUGCCCAACAGGCCAGAAUGAUGGGAAGGUAAGUGUUGCCCUCUGCAGCUCUGAGUUCUGGGGAUGUCCCUGUGCCUCCCUCUGUCUCUGUGUGUGUCUCUGAACAGUGCAGUGCUCAUAGGCCAAGCCCAUGGGGUCACUGUAGGAGGAAGUGGGGUCUCCAAGGCAAGCGCUGGCCCUGACCUUAGUCCUGUUGAAGAUCUGCUGCAAUGGCUGUGCUUAUUCUCACUGAUGAUUUUCUUUCCCUAAAGGGAAGCUUUGUCUCCCCCUCACUGAAUCCUGCACUUGGGCAAAGCUAUCCUCUUCGUUGUAAAGGAGAUCAGAGACUCACUCCACAGGGUUCAUACAGCGCAGGAGACCCUAGGGGAUGGCAGAGGGACCAGGCCCACUCUGAUACCUUAGAGGAAGCUGCUGUGUGUCUUUCUUCCCAGCAUAUGCAUGAAGCCCCACUAUGUGCAAACCCUUAUCUAGGCACUGACCAUGACCCAGCGACCAAGGGGGCUUCUAUGCCACUAGGGGGCUAAACAGUCACCUGAGACAGAAGAGCAAGCAGAUCAUGUUCACAGAGUGGUGAACGGGACAGUCUCCUGGCCUCCUGAGACACGAGCAAGUAUGGAGGAAAGGAACCCAGAGGACAGAGAACUAGGCAGAGAAAAGAGCCAAAAAAUGAGAGCUGGGGAGGACCCUCUCUCCCUUAGCUCUCACUUCUCAGACCUGCUUGCAGCAUGUGCCCUGUUCCCACAAAGCCAAUGCCACCACAGACACCUCCCCUUUUCUGAACAGAGGCCACAUGGCAACAGGAGGCACAGGCACAGCGACGGGUGCCACGCUUCCCUGAAGAAGGGAGAGGUGCUCACACCAUGCAUCAAAAGAUACCCAUUUGUCUUUUCCCAGGGCCGUGUCCUUCCUCCUCGACUCCUGGCUAGAGAUGCACGUCCAGGAUGGACCUCCCAGCCCACUGGCUCCACUGCAGCAUCCCCAAGCCCGCUGAAGAAGAGAGUAAGGGUGAUAGGACCGGGCUAUGGGCCCAUGGGUACAUGGGAUAGGAUGGGGCUGGGCAUGCAGUAAGGGCUCCCACCUGCUCCGUUGGCCCGGGAACAGCCCGAGACUAAGUAGUCCGUGGGUGGAUGCACCUGGGAAGACUUCCUGGGAUGGGCUGGCAGACAGAGCUGCCUCGUGGGAGGAACAUGGACAGUAGGUGUUUUCUCUUCUUCUCGCUGCAGGGCCAGCUGCGGCUCAAACUCGAGUACCACCUGCAGAGCCGGUGCCGCCUCUACCUUCAGCCUCCUCACCAGCUGCAGCACUGAAAUGAGAACCAGCUGCAGGAACCACUUCUCCACCAGUUCCACACCUGGGGUCCCUCAUUUCACAGAGGGUGUCACCUCCUGACUGCCCCCUGUGGCCAGCUCCUGACACAUACCCACUCUUCUGCGCCCUGGCUGUUGCACUUCCUGUUGUAUUUACUCAUAUCUUUAAUUCCCAGUUCUCUGUAAAUAUAUUAAUUUUAAAUGUAAUUUCAGAGUUAGUUUUUUGUGAUGGUCAGUGGCAUCAAGUACACUUGCAGUGCUGUGCAACUUCCACAACUGUCCGGUACCAGAACAUCUUCCUGGUUUCCGUACCCAUAUGCAGUCCCUCACCUCUGCCCUAGGCCAGCUCCUGGCUACUGGUCACCUUUCUUUCCCUGUGAUUUACCUAUUCUCAAUUUUUUUCACAUCUGUGAAAUGAGAUUUCUCGUUGGCCACGUAGGAUUGGAGGGGUCUGAUUCAUCUUAGUUUAGGUUAGAAGGGGAUAUAGUCCACAAUUUACAGGUAGAAAGCAAAGCCCCACAAUGAAUAUAAUAUAAUAUAUACCUAUCUAUAGAUAGAUAGAUAUCUAUAUAUAUAUAUAUUUUUUUUUUCGCCCUGGGGCAGGGUUUGGGGUUUCUAGUCUAUGACUUCAGUGAUAAGAAACCACAGGGAAAUGGCUGACUCUUUGCAGGCAAAACAAAAGCAAGAACAAUGUGAACAAUUAUAAUGACAAAUCACAAUGAGAAAUGUUUUUUAGAACCCACACCAUCUUGGAGGAUCAAAUCCCAGGGCUACAAUGAACACUCAGGAAGCUAUCGGUUUAGUAGGAUAAAAGACACUUUUGUAAUGCAAAAUGAAAUUUCAUCGCAGCCUGCAAAGUUAUACAAUGAUCAAUCUGCAGGGCACAGAGGCACACAUUACUGAAAUGUCAUCUGUCCUCUUCACACUAAUAUGUUUUAAGUGUGGCGCCAAUAGAACUGGUAAGAACAUGGAAGGCAGCAGGCCUGGUAGGUCCCUGAAGGACAUGGUUAUGGAAGUUCUUCUCUCAAAGAGCUGUGUGCCAGCUCCUCCGAGUGCUUUUGGUUUUUUUAUGCAUCAGGGAUGGAACUGUAGACCUUACGCUUGCGACACAGGUGGCAGAACCACUGAGCUAAAUCUCAGGCCCUCAUUUGACAGUCUUUGUUUUGCUUUGCUUUUGGUAUUGGUUUUUUUUGGUAUUGGUGACAGCAUCUCACUAUGUACUCCAGCCUGGCCUCAAACUAAGGUCAGUUCCCCUGCCUCAGCUUCCUUACUGGUGGGAUUACAGGCAGGGCCACCACGCCUCACUCCUCAGGCUUUUAAACAUUUACGUUGCUUUUCCUUGCAGAGCUAAUGUUAGCGAUUCUUCUCACAUACACAGCAACACACCUUUUCAAGACUAUUGUUCACAUCCGUAGUUGAAGGAGGCAGCAUCUGGAACCUUCCGUAACAUCUGUGUAUAGGCCACGUGUAUGACAAAAUGAUAUGCAGCUAUUCGGGUGGCUCCAUCUGGCCUCAUAGGGAAAGUAGCCAAGGAAACUGUUAAUGUGAAAAAGAUACAUGAUGUGUGGAUGUCUGCCUGCAUGAAGGAUCUCAAUUUCUGAACGACACAUCUAUGAUGUAAAUCUACACACGUCCCUAUGCUAAUGAAUCUAUGUCAGAAGUAGAGAGACAGACAGGCUGAAGGAGGCAGAGAGAGAGAGAUGCCCAACCAUCGGUAAUGAACAGCUCUUCUGGUUAACUUGUGGAAAAAUAUUGAUAUGUUCACUCAUUUAGAUUCUAAGAGUUUUAUAAUGUGAAUACUUUUAAUCAUAUAUAGAUCAAUGGUAAAAUCUCUUCUUUCGUUCUAAAUGACACGGACCAUUUUUACACCUGGGCUGAAGUGAAUAAACUUUCAAUGAACAUGAGUGUGAAGAAAUCUUUCUAGACUGUGGUUUCAGUUCCUUUACAUAAAUACACAGAGUGGGCUUACUGGGUCCUGUGGCAGUUUCAAUAACUGUGUUUUAAGAAACUUUCAUAUUCUUUUCCAUAAUGGCUGUAUUGAUGCGCAUUGUCACUAACAGUGUACAAGGAUCCAUAAAUUUUCUUUUAUCUUUGGGACCAGGGAUCCAACUCGGGCCCUUGUGCUUGCGAGGCAGGCGGCAGAAUCAGUGAGCCAAACCUCUGGUCCUGAUUAUUGAGUUAAUGUCCUUAUGAGUUGAGAUGUAUUUGACUUUUUAAUGCCAUUUUUUAUUGUCUUCGUAGGUUGUACAUUUGUUAGAGGUUGUCUAUUUCUUCUAGGCUAUCUACAAUCUUAAAAUACAAUUAUUCAUAAUCUCUGAAAUAAUUUUCAUGCAUAAAUAAAUGAUGGUAUGUUCUCUCCUGCAUUUCUGAUUUUAGCAGUUUGAGUCCCCUUUUUUUGGCCAUCGAUCCAGCUAAAUGUAAGUUUUGUGAAUUUGUUGGAAAAAUCAAUUCUGGUAUAAUGUAUUUUGCUAUAAGUUUAUAUGCGUACUCAUAUGUGCUUGGAGAUACAUGAUGUGAUAUUCUAAGUGUGGUGUUCUUUACUAAACUUCUAUUAUGAAAUUGAGAUGGAUAUUGAGAGAUUUCAUUGUUUUCUCCAUCAGCAUAAAAAUUAACAUACCACAUUACAGCACAGAAUUGUGAAGAAUACCAACCAAAUCUUUUUGUAAAUAUUUGUAAGUAGUGGAUAUGGAAAUGGAAUAAAAGAUAUGGAUAUGGAAUAAAUUAUCAAGUUCAUGUACAUAUGCCCACCAGGAAUUAUUUUAAAUGAUUGCCCAAGUAUAUAUUUAGGAGUUUUUUUUUCUAUUACGUCAUUCUCUGGCAUUAGUAACAAUUGCUGAUAGAAAGGUUAAGAACUCAAUAAAGACUGGUAUACUUCUAGACAAUAUGCGCAGUCCAAUUUUUCUCAGAGAUGCUGGGUGAGUUCUGUGUACUAUAGAAUUUAUUGUGUAUAGGUGGGCCUGGUGAUGCGAAAUUCCUCAGACCACAGUUCACCACUCCUUGAUCUAGAGCUUGAUUUGUCAUCAUAUUGAUAUUUACUCUCCUAAGAAACCCUUUGAAAAGGAGCUUAAAGUCCUUAAUGUGAAAGAGAAUUUCCCAGUAUGUUACCAAUGAAUGUACAGUUUUCUUUGGGAAGAUAAACACUGAAAGAAGACAUUGAUUCCAAAGCCCAUAGAUAGUAAG